GAUGAACGCUAGCUACAGGCUUAACACAUGCAAGUCGAGGGGAAACGGCAUUGAGUGCUUGCACUCUUUGGACGUCGACCGGCGCACGGGUGAGUAACGCGUAUCCAACCUUCCCAUUACUGUGGGAUAACCUGCCGAAAGGCAGACUAAUACCGCAUAGUCUUCGAUGACGGCAUCAGAUUUGAAGUCAAGAUUUAUCGGUCAUGGAUGGGGAUGCGUCUGAUUAGCUUGGUGGCGGGGUAACGGCCCACCAAGGCUACGAUCAGUAGGGGUUCUGAGAGGAAGGUCCCCCACAUUGGAACUGAGACACGGUCCAAACUCCUACGGGAGGCAGCAGUGAGGAAUAUUGGUCAAUGGACGGAAGUCUGAACCAGCCAAGUAGCGUGCAGGAUGACGGCCCUAUGGGUUGUAAACUGCUUUUGUAUGGGGAUAAAGUUAGGGACGUGUCCCUAUUUGCAGGUACCAUACGAAUAAGGACCGGCUAAUUCCGUG
RNAcentral lists this ribosomal RNA (492 nucleotides) under uncultured bacterium. RNAcentral's name for it is "partial 16S ribosomal RNA". It matches the Rfam family "Bacterial small subunit ribosomal RNA", at positions 28 to 507 of the family's 1533-position model. The record is from RNAcentral.